AACGAACGCUGGCGGCAGGCUCCAUACAUGCAAGUCGAACGGCCCGCAAGGGCAGUGGCGCACGGGUGCGUAACACGUGGGAAUAUGCCCUUCAGUACGGAACAACGUCGGGAAACUGACGCUAAUACCGUAUAAUGUCUCCGGACCAAAGAUUUAUCGCUGAAGGAUUAGCCCGCGUCUGAUUAGGUAGUUGGGGAGGUAAUGGCUCACCAAGCCGACGAUCAGUAGCUGGUCUGAGAGGAUGAUCAGCCACACUGGGACGGAGACACGGCCCAGACGCCUACGGGAGGCAGCAGUAAGGAAUAUUGGACAAUGGGGGAAACCCUGAUCCAGCCAUGCCGCGUGAGUGAAGAAGGCCUUCGGGUUGUAAAGCUCUUUUACCCCUGACGAUAAUGACGGUAAGGGGAGAAAAAGCCACGGCUAACUUCGUGCCAGCCGCCGCGGUAA
RNAcentral lists this ribosomal RNA (447 nucleotides) under uncultured bacterium. RNAcentral's name for it is "partial 16S ribosomal RNA". It matches the Rfam family "Bacterial small subunit ribosomal RNA", at positions 29 to 523 of the family's 1533-position model. The record is from RNAcentral.